RNAcentral lists this ribosomal RNA (257 nucleotides) under uncultured bacterium. RNAcentral's name for it is "partial 16S ribosomal RNA". It matches the Rfam family "Bacterial small subunit ribosomal RNA", at positions 524 to 777 of the family's 1533-position model. The record is from RNAcentral.
UACGGAGGGUGCAAACGUUUGCUCGGAAUCAUUGGGCGUAAAGCGCACGUAGGCGGCUCGUUAAGUCGGAUGUGAAAGCCCUGGGCUCAACCCAGGAAGUGCAUUCGAAACUGGCGAGCUUGAAUAUGGAAGAGGGUCGCGGAAUUCCCGGUGUAGAGGUGAAAUUCGUAGAUAUCGGGGAGGAACACCAGUGGCGAAGGCGGCGCCUGGGCCAAUAUUGACGCUGAGGUGCGAAAGCGUGGGGGAGCAAAACAGGG